This 253-nucleotide ribosomal RNA is filed under the name uncultured bacterium. Its description in RNAcentral is "partial 16S ribosomal RNA". It matches the Rfam family "Bacterial small subunit ribosomal RNA", at positions 524 to 776 of the family's 1533-position model. The record is from RNAcentral.
UACGGGGGGAGCAAGCGUUGUUCGGAUUUACUGGGCGUAAAGGGCGCGUAGGCGGCGCAACAAGUCACUUGUGAAAUCUCCGGGCUUAACCCGGAGCGGCCAAGUGAUACUGUCGUGCUAGAGUGCGGAAGGGGCUACUGGUAUUCUCGGUGUAGCGGUGAAAUGCGUAGAUAUCGAGAGGAACACCUGCGGCGAAGGCGGGUAGCUGGGCCGACACUGACGCUGAGGCGCGAAAGCCAGGGGAGCGAACGGG